Xyrichtys novacula (pearly razorfish) is the source of this 5924-nucleotide non-coding RNA. NCBI's taxonomy places the organism in Eukaryota, Metazoa, Chordata, Actinopteri, Labriformes, Labridae. The record is from the annotation of a GenBank genome assembly.
AUUAGGUUUUGGGACUAGGGAAAGGUUUAAGGUUUUUGGCGUUAGGGUUAAAAUCACUGUCCAAAACCUUUGUAGGAACUCUUUUCCAACCUUUUGGAGUUGGUUACACCAACAAAAAAGUAAAAUGAAAAAAAAAUAUUUGGGGUGUUUGGGCUUCCUGAAGGUAAUACCCGGGUAUUAGAUUUUAAGGCUAGGUAAGGUUUAAGUUUUUUGGCGUUAGGGUUAAAAUCACUGUCCAAAACCUUUGUAGGAACUCUUUUCCAACCUUUUGGAGUUGGUUACACCAAAAAAAAUGUAAAAUGAAAAAAAUAUAUAUUUGGGGUGUUCAGGCUUCCUAAAAGUAAUACCCGGGUAUUAGGUUAUGGGGCCAUGGUAAGGUUUAAGGUUUUUGGCGUUAGGGUUAAAAUCACUGUCCAAAACCUUUGUAGGAACUCUUUUCCAACCUUUUGGAGUUAGUUAGACCAAAAAAAAUGAAAAAUGAAAAAAAAAUAUUUGGGGUGUUCAGGCUUCCUUAAUGUAAUACCCGGGUAUUAGAUUUUAAUGGCCAGGGUAAGGUUUAAGUUUUUUGGCGUUAGGGUUAAAAUCACUGUCCAAAACCUUUGUAGGAACUCUUUUCCAACCUUUUGGAGUUGGUUACACCAACAAAAAUGUAAAAUGAAAAAAAAAUAUUUGGGGUGUUCGGGCUUCCUGAAGGUAAUACCCGGGUAUUAGGUUAUGGGGCUAGGGUAAGGUUUAAGGUUUUGGCGUUAGGGUUUAAAUCACUGUCCAAAACCUUUGUAGGAACUCUUUUCCAACCUUUUGGAGUUAGUUAGACCAAAAAAAAAGAAAAAUGAAAAAAAAAUAUUUGGGGUGUUCAGGCUUCCUAAAAGUAAUACCCGGGUAUUAGGUUAUGGGGCUAUGGUAAGGUUUAAGGUUUUUGGCGUUAGGGUUAAAAUCACUGUCCAAAACCUUUGUAGGAACUCUUUUCCAACCUUUUGGAGUUGGUUAGACCAAAAAAAAUGAAAAAUGAAAAAAAAAUAUUUGGGGUGUUCGGGCUUCCUGAAGGUAAUACCUGGGAAUUAGGUUAUGGGGCUAUGGUAAGUUUUAAGGUUUUUGGCGUUAGGGUUAAUAUCACUGUCCAAAACCUUUGUAGGAACUCUUUUCCAACCUUUUGGAGUUAGUUAGACCAAAAAAUAUGAAAAAAGAAAAAAAUUUUAUUGGGGGUUUUCGGGCUCCCUGAAAGUAAUACCCGGGUAUUAGGUUUUGGGACUAGGGAAAGGUUUAAGGUUUUUGGCGUUAGGGUUAAAAUCACUGUCCAAAACCUUUGUAGGAACUCUUUUCCAACCUUUUGGAGUUGGUUACAACAACAAAAAAGUAAAAUGAAAAAAAAAUAUUUGGGGUGUUUGGGCUUCCUGAAGGUAAUACCCGGGUAUUAGAUUUUAAGGCUAGGGUAAGGUUUAAGUUUUUUGGCGUUAGGGUUACAAUCACUGUCCAAAACCUUUGUAGGAACUCUUUUCCAACCUUUUGGAGUUGGUUACACCAACAAAAAUUUAAAAUGAAAAAAAUAUAUAUUUGGGGUGUUCAGGCUUCCUAAAAGUAAUACCCGGGUAUUAGGUUAUGGGGCCAUGGUAAGGUUUAAGGUUUUUGGCGUUAGGGUUAAAAUCACUGUCCAAAACCUUUGUAGGAACUCUUUUCCAACCUUUUGGAGUUAGUUAGACCAAAAAAAAUGAAAAAUGAAAAAAAAAAUAUUUGGGGUGUUCAGGCUUCCUGAAUGUAAUACCCGGGUAUUAGAUUUUAAGGCUAGGGUAAGGUUUAAGUUUUUUGGCGUUAGGGUUAAAAUCACUGUCCAAAACCUUUGUAGGAACUCUUUUCCAACCUUUUGGAGUUAGUUACACCAAAAAAAUGUAAAAUGAAAAAAAAUAUUUGGGGUGUUCGGGCUUCCUGAAGGUAAUACCCGGGUAUUAGGUUAUGGGGCUAGGGUAAGGUUUAAGGUUUUUGGCGUUAGGGUUAAAAUCACUGUCCAAAACCUUUGUAGGAACUCUUUUCCAACCUUUUGGAGUUAGUUAGACCAAAAAAAAAUGAAAAAUUAAAAAAAAAUAUUUGGGGUUUUCGGGGUUCCUGAAUGUAAUACCCGGGUAUUAGAUUUUGAGGCUAGGGUAAGGUUUAAGUUUUUUUGCAUUAGGGUUAAAAUCACUGUCCAAAACCUUUGUAGGAACUCUUUUCCAACCUUUUGGAGUUGGUUACACCAACAAAAAUGACCAAAAAAGAAUGAAAAAUGAAAAAAAAAUAUUUGGGGUGUUCGGGCUUCCUGAAGGUAAUACCCGGGUAUUAGGUUAUGGGGCUAUGGUAAGGUUUAAGGUUUUUGGCGUUAGGGUUAAAAUCACUGUCCAAAACCUUUGUAGGAACUCUUUUCCAACCUUUUGGAGUUGGUUACACCAACAAAAAUGUAAAAUGAAAAAAAAAUAUUUGGGGUGUUCGGGCUUCCUGAAGGUAAUACCCGGGUAUUAGGUUAUGGGGCUAGGGUAAGGUUUAAGGUUUUUGGCGUUAGGGUUAAAAUCACUGUCCAAAACCUUUGUAGGAACUCUUUUCCAACCUUUUGGAGUUAGUUAGACCAAAAAAAAAGAAAAAUGAAAAAAAAAUAUUUGGGGUGUUCAGGCUUCCUAAAAGUAAUACCUGGGUAUUAGGUUAUGGGGCUAUGGUAAGGUUUAAGGUUUUUGGCGUUAGGGUUAAAAUCACUGUCCAAAACCUUUGUAGGAACUCUUUUCCAACCUUUUGGAGUUGGUUAGACCAAAAAAUAUGAAAAAUGAAAAAAAAAUAUUUGGGGUGUUCGGGCUUCCUGAAGGUAAUACCUGGGAAUUAGGUUAUUGGGCUAUGGUAAGGUUUAAGGUUUUUGGCGUUAGGGUUAAAAUCACUGUCCAAAACCUUUGUAGGAACUCUUUUCCAACCUUUUGGAGUUAGUUAGACCAAAAAAUAUGAAAAAUGAAAAAAAUAUUUGGGGUUUUCGGGCUUCCUGAAUGUAAUACCCGGGUAUUAGGUUUUAAGGCUAGGGUAAGGUUUAAGGUUUUUGGCGUUAGGGUUAAAAUCACUGUCCAAAACCUUUGUAGGAACUCUUUUCCAACCUUUUGGAGUUAGUUAGACCAAAAAAAAUGAAAAAUGAAAAAAAAAUAUUUGGGGUGUUCAGGCUUCCUUAAUGUAAUACCCGGGUAUUAGAUUUUAAGGCUAGGGUAAGGUUUAAGUUUUUUGGCGUUAGGGUUAAAAUCACUGUCCAAAACCUUUGUAGGAACUCUUUUCCAACCUUUUGGAGUUGGUUACACCAACAAAAAUGUAAAAUGAAAAACAAAUAUUUGGGGUGUUCGGGCUUCCUGAAGGUAAUACCCGGGUAUUAGAUUUCAAGGCUAGGGUAAGGUUUAAGGUUUUUGGCGUUAGGGUUAAAAUCACUGUCCAAAACCUUUGUAGGAACUCUUUUCCAACCUUUUGGAGUUAGUUAGACCAAAAAAAAUGAAAAAUGAAAAAAAAAUAUUUGGGGUGUUCAGGCUUCCUUAAUGUAAUACCCGGGUAUUAGAUUUUAAUGCCAGGGUAAGGUUUAAGUUUCUUGGCAUUAGGGUUUAAAUCACUGUCCAAAACCUUUGUAGGAACUCUUUUCCAACCUUUUGGAGUUAGUUAGACCAAAAAAAUGAAAAAAGAAAAAAAAAUUAUUGGGGGUUUUCGGGCUUCCUGAAAGUAAUACCCGGGUAUUAGGUUUUGGGGCUAGGGUAAGGUUUAAGGUUUUUGGCGUUAGGGUUAAAAUCACUGUCCAAAACCUUUGUAGGAACUCUUUUCCAACCUUUUGGAGUUAGUUAGACCAAAAAAAAAGAAAAAUGAAAAAAAAAAAAUAUUUGGGGUGUUCAGGCUUCCUUAAUGUAAUACCCGGGUAUUAGAUUUUAAUGGCUAGGGUAAGGUUUAAGUUUUUCGGCGUUAGGGUUAAAAUCACUGUCCAAAACCUUUGUAGGAACUCUUUUCCAACCUUUUGGAGUUGGUUACACCAAAAAAAAUGUAAAAUGAAAAAAAAUAUUUGGGGUGUUCGGGCUUCCUGAAGGUAAUACCCGGGUAUUAGGUUAUGGGGCUAGGGUAAGGUUUAAGGUUUUUGGCGUUAGGGUUAAAAUCACUGUCCAAAACCUUUGUAGGAACUCUUUUCCAACCUUUUGGAGUUAGUUAGACCAAAAAAAUGAAAAAUUAAAAAAAAUAUUUGGGGUUUUCGGGGUUCCUGAAUGUAAUACCCGGGUAUUAGAUUUUGAGGCUAGGGUAAGGUUUAAGUUUUUUGGCAUUAGGGUUAAAAUCACUGUCCAAAACCUUUGUAGGAACUCUUUUCCAACCUUUUGGAGUUGGUUACACCAACAAAAAUGUAAAAUGAAAAAAAAAUAUUUGGGGUGUUCAGGCUUCCUAAAAGUAAUACCCGGGUAUUAGGUUAUGGGGCUAUGGUAAGGUUUAAGGUUUUUGGCGUUAGGGUUAAAAUCACUGUCCAAAACCUUUGUAGGAACUCUUUUCCAACCUUUUGGAGUUAGUUAGACCAAAAAAAAUGAAAAAUGAAAAAAAAAUAUUUGGGGUGUUCAGGCUUCCUUAAUGUAAUACCCGGGUAUUAGAUUUUAAUGCCAGGGUAAGGUUUAAGUUUUUUGGCGUUAGGGUUAAAAUCACUGUCCAAAACCUUUGUAGGAACUCUUUUCCAACCUUUUGGAGUUGGUUACACCAACAAAAAUGUAAAAUGAAAAAAAAAUAUUUGGGGUGUUCGGGCUUCCUGAAGGUAAUACCCGGGAAUUAGGUUAUGGGGCUAGGGUAAGGUUUAAGGUUUUUGGCGUUAGGGUUAAAAUCACUGUCCAAAACCUUUGUAGGAACUCUUUUCCAACCUUUUGGAGUUAGUUAGACCAAAAAAAAAAGAAAAAUGAAAAAAAAAUAUUUGGGGUGUUCAGGCUUCCUAAAAGUAAUACCCGGGUAUUAGGUUAUGGGGCUAGGGUAAGGUUUAAGGUUUUUGGCGUUAGGGUUAAAAUCACUGUCCAAAACCUUUGUAGGAACUCUUUUCCAACCUUUUGGAGUUAGUUAGACCAAAAAAGAAUGAAAAAUGAAAAAAAAAUAUUUGGGGUGUUCGGGCUUCCUGAAGGUAAUACCUGGGAAUUAGGUUAUGGGGCUAUGGUAAGUUUUAAGGUUUUUGGCGUUAGGGUUAAAAUCACUGUCCAAAACCUUUGUAGGAACUCUUUUCCAACCUUUUGGAGUUAGUUAGACCAAAAAAAAAAAAAAAAUGAAAAAAAUAUUAUUGGGGGUUUUCGGGCUCCCUGAAAGUAAUACCCGGGUAUUAGGUUUUGGGACUAGGGAAAGGUUUAAGGUUUUUGGCGUUAGGGUUAAAAUCACUGUCCAAAACCUUUGUAGGAACUCUUUUCCAACCUUUUGGAGUUAGUUAGACCAAAAAAAAUGAAAAAUGAAAAAAAAAUAUUUGGGGUGUUCAGGCUUCCUGAAUGUAAUACCCGGGUAUUAGAUUUUGAGGCUAGGGUAAGGUUUAAGGUUUUUGGCGUUAGGGUUAAAAUCACUGUCCAAAACCUUUGUAGGAACUCUUUUCCAACCUUUUGGAGUUGGUUACACCAACAAAAAUGUAAAAUGAAAAACAAAUAUUUGGGGUGUUCGGGCUUCCUGAAGGUAAUACCCGGGAAUUAGGUUAUGGGGCUAGGGUAAGUUUUAAGGUUUUUGGCGUUAGGGUUAAAAUCACUGUCCAAAACCUUUGUAGGAACAUUUCCAACCUUUUGGAGUUAGUUUGACCAAAAAAAAAAGAAAAAUGAAAAAAAAAUAUUUGGGGUGUUCAGGCUUCCUAAAAGUAAUACCCGGGUAUUAGGUUAUGGGGCUAUGGUAAGGUUUAAGGUUUUUGGCGUUAGGGUUAAAAUCACUGUCCAAAACCUUUGUAGGAACUCUUUUCCAACCUUUUG